GUACACUCCUGCGGGAGGCAGCAGUGGGGAAUAUUGCACAAUGGGCGCAAGCCUGAUGCAGCCAUGCCGCGUGUAUGAAGAAGGCCUUCGGGUUGUAAAGUACUUUCAGCGGGGAGGAAGGCGAUAAGGUUAAUAACCUUGUCGAUUGACGUUACCCGCAGAAGAAGCACCGGCUAACUCCGUGCCAGCAGCCGCGGUAAUACGGAGGGUGCAAGCGUUAAUCGGAAUUACUGGGCGUAAAGCGCACGCAGGUGGUCUGUCAAGUCGGAUGUGAAAUCCCCGGGCUCAACCUGGGAACUGCAUUCGAAACUGGCAGGCUAGAGUCUUGUAGAGGGGGGUAGAAUUCCAGGUGUAGCGGUGAAAUGCGUAGAGAUCUGGAGGAAUACCGGUGGCGAAGGCGGCCCCCUGGACAAAGACUGACGCUCAGGUGCGAAAGCGUGGGGAGCAAACAGGAUUAGAUACCCCGGUAGUCCCAUGAU
Molecule: ribosomal RNA, 479 nt
Filed under: uncultured organism
Description: partial 16S ribosomal RNA
Rfam family: Bacterial small subunit ribosomal RNA
Source: RNAcentral